This is a long non-coding RNA of Otolemur garnettii (small-eared galago), 125 nucleotides long. RefSeq lists it as uncharacterized. The record is from RefSeq and is a predicted model, not a curated record. Lineage: Eukaryota; Metazoa; Chordata; Mammalia; Primates; Galagidae. The transcript is spliced from 3 exons.
GUGCUUUUCCGAUCUGCUUGAUCCCAGAAAUGAGAAUAUGACAUAGGAGGAGAUAAUCCCUUAGCUGUAGAAAGUUUUUGGAGACGUGUGGAAUAUAGUGGUCACUGGUAGACUUUGAACCUAUA